AGGACGAACGCUGGCGGCGUGCCUAACACAUGCAAGUCGAGCGAGGAGAUCCUUCGGGAUGAUCCUAGCGGCGGACGGGUGAGUAACACGUGGGCAACCUGCCUCAUAGAGAGGAAUAGCCUUCCGAAAGGGAGAUUAAUACCUCAUAACAUUGCAGUUUCGGCAUGGAACAGCAAUUAAAGGAGUAAUCCGCUAUGAGAUGGGCCCGCGGCGCAUUAGCUAGUUGGUGAGGUAACGGCUCACCAAGGCGACGAUGCGUAGCCGACCUGAGAGGGUGAUCGGCCACAUUGGGACUGAGACACGGCCCAGACUCCUACGGGAGGCAGCAGUGGGGAAUAUUGCACAAUGGGGGAAACCCUGAUGCAGCCAACGCCGCGUGAGUGAUGACGGCCUUCGGGUUGUAAAGCUCUGUCUUCAGGGACGAUAAUGACGGUACCUGAGGAGGAAGCCACGGCUAACUACGUGCCAGCAGCUGC
This 476-nucleotide ribosomal RNA is filed under the name uncultured bacterium. RNAcentral describes it as "bacterial SSU rRNA". It matches the Rfam family "Bacterial small subunit ribosomal RNA", at positions 26 to 518 of the family's 1533-position model. The record is from RNAcentral.